Long non-coding RNA from Sapajus apella (tufted capuchin), 664 nucleotides. RefSeq lists it as uncharacterized. The transcript has 2 exons. The record is from RefSeq and is a predicted model, not a curated record. Lineage: Eukaryota; Metazoa; Chordata; Mammalia; Primates; Cebidae.
UCAAUGAUACAAUUUUACCUAAAUUCAUCGGGGACGAAAAUCAAUGGCUUAGAUAGCACAUCUGUUGUUUCCUGUUACUGCCUCACACAGUCUGGAGUCCCUGAGGAUCCAUACUGCGGCACAUAGCAAAAAGCAAUUGCUGGAUUGAUUGAUAUUUCAAUACGCUGACUUUUACGAAGAAUGAAGAAAGGACAAAAUUUCUGUGCCACACUGACUUCCUUGGACACAUCACAAGCUCUCAAAAGUCCCCGCCUUGGCACAUGCUGUAAACCUCUCUUGGGAGGGAACCCCCUGCCUGUUUUGUGUGUUUGCCAAAUCCUUGUUUAUCUGAGAAGGCGAGGUACGAAGCAGUGCACAGUGUUAAGCCUUUCCUGGUUUCCCAAGGAGCAGUGACCAGUAUUGUCCUUGGUGCUCCCAGAGCAAUGGAGGUGGAGCUCGGAGUUGCUACGUCUCCGCCACAUGCAAUGGGUCUCUUCUGUGCCUCUCUCAUGACACGCUGAGCUCCCUGAAGACAGGAGCUGUGAACUACGGAUUCUUUAGUUGAUGCCUCUAAUCUCUAACGUGGAUGCUCGUAACUCAAUAGAUAUUGAGUGUCUGUUAUGCGUUACUCCACUGACUAUACUCAAUAAGUAUUUUUAGAUACUCAAUAAAAGUAUUUUGAAUA